UCCUUAAAACAAAGACUGUCCUCCCAGAUAUUUUUGGAAACUAUUUCUACAGAUUGUACACCAGGGUUCCUGUCCAUCCCUAACCUAAGAGGCCCUGUGGACAUCUCAAAAUAUCCAGUAUCCUGAAUAGGAGUGAACAUCCUUAAAACAAAGACUGUCCUCCCAGAUAUUUUUGGAAACUAUUUCUACAGAUUGUACACCAGGGUUCCUGUCCAUCCCUAACCUAAGAGGCCCUGUGGACAUCUCAAAAUAUCCAGUAUCCUGAAUAGGAGUGAACAUCCUUAAAACAAAGACUGUCCUCCCAGAUAUUUUUGGAAACUAUUUCUACAGAUUGUACACCAGGGUUCCUGUCCAUCCCUAACCUAAGAGGCCCUGUGGACAUCUCAAAAUAUCCAGUAUCCUGAAUAGGAGUGAACAUCCUUAAAACAAAGACU
Long non-coding RNA from Protopterus annectens (West African lungfish), 434 nucleotides. RefSeq lists it as uncharacterized. The record is from RefSeq and is a predicted model, not a curated record. Lineage: Eukaryota; Metazoa; Chordata; Ceratodontiformes; Protopteridae. The transcript is spliced from 4 exons.